GGCCUUUAAUUUUCGGUUAAUCUGUACGCUCAACGUACAGGCUGCCGGGAAUACUGCAAAGCUAGGGAGUGGGAGAGGUAGACGGUACUCGGUAGGAAGGGGUAAAAUCCUUUGAUCUAUUGAUGACCACCUGUGCCGAAGGCGGUCUACCAGAACACGUCCGACGGUGAGGGAUGAAAGCUGGGGGAGCAAACCGGAUUAGAUACCCGGGUAGUCCCAGCUGUAAACCAUGCAAACUCAGUGAUGCAUUGGCUUGUGGCCAAUGCAGUGCUGCAGGGAAGCCGUUAAGUUUGCCGCCUGGGAAGUACGUACGCAAGUAUGAAACUUAAAGGAAUUGGCGGGGGAGCACCACAAGGGGUGAAGCCUGCGGUUCAAUUGGAGUCAACGCCAGAAAUCUUACCCGGAGAGACAGCAGAAUGAAGGUCAAGCUGAAGACUUUACCAGACAAGCUGAGAGGUGGUGCAUGGCCGUCGCCAGCUCGUGCCGUGAGAUGUCCUGUUAAGUCAGGUAACGAGCGAGAUCCCUGCCUCUAGUUGCCACCAUUACUCUCAGGAGUAGUGGGGCGAAUUAGCGGGACCGCCGCAGUUAAUGCGGAGGAANGANNGGGCCNCGGNNGGGUCAUAUGCCCCCGAAACUCUGGGGCCACCCGCCGGCCUGCAUGGUAACGACAAUUGGUUUCCAAUCCGAGAGGGUGAGGUACCCCUCCAACGUUACCCCCGUUAUCACUGAGCGCCGCCACUCCCCCCUCCCAAUAUGGCAUCCCCUAUACCUGGGUGUCCUUAUCCCCGCGGGAAUCCCUCCCUGCUCC
This 808-nucleotide ribosomal RNA is filed under the name uncultured archaeon. RNAcentral describes it as "bacterial SSU rRNA". It matches the Rfam family "Archaeal small subunit ribosomal RNA", at positions 527 to 1336 of the family's 1478-position model. The record is from RNAcentral.